GCCUGGGUGGCUCUGUCAGUUAGGCGUCCGACUUCAGCUCAGGUCAUGAUCUCACGGUUUGCGGGUUCGAGCCCCGCCUCGGGCU
This 85-nucleotide transfer RNA is filed under the name Felis catus (domestic cat). It matches the Rfam family "tRNA". From Rfam's summary of the family: Transfer RNA (tRNA) molecules are approximately 80 nucleotides in length. Their secondary structure includes four short double-helical elements and three loops (D, anti-codon, and T loops). Lineage: Eukaryota; Metazoa; Chordata; Mammalia; Carnivora; Felidae. The record is from Rfam by way of RNAcentral.